GGUCGAACGAAAUUUCUCUGAUUUGGCCGCGGAUCUCGAUCGGAUCCAAUCAUCGCCGGCAACGUCUAGGUUUAUACAAAAUAAGUGAGUUGUUUUUUUAAGGAUUUGUUACCAUACCAUAACUUUUUUUUAAUUCUCAAAAAAAUGUAACUGUAAUUUUUUUUGAUCAAUCGCAAUUUUCUCCAUUCGGUUCGCGGGCCAAAGUAUUUUAAUUUUUUUUGGUAGUUACAAAAAGUCGCCUGCAACUAGAUUUCAGAAAUUCUAGGAAACUGUGCGAAAUUCAGAUAAAUUAGUUGAGAAUUUUUUUAAAGGAACUUUUUUGAAUUUUCAAAUCGAAAAAAAAACCAAAAUCUCUGUUUUUUCUUUAAUUUCAACUAACAUUCUUCUUUGCUUCAUUAUCAGCUUCGCAUGCCUUUUCUUUUUCCAAUUCAGAUCAUCAACUCUUCCGUCAUCAUAUUCCGAUUCCACACAGCAGUAUUCGUUCGAAAAUACGGUUGCCACGUCGCAAUAUGGAGGACUUCAAACCAACAACAAUAAUAAUAAUAUUAAUAUGAAUUCAUUUGAACCCUAUUGGAGAAAUGGAUCAAUAUAUCGGAGGCAAUUCGAAGGAAAUGGCAAACCGUAUGUGUUUCGCUUCUUUUAUUUUUCUUACUUUCUCGCAUGAGUUUCUUUAUUUUUCUCUAUAAUAGUUUUUUUUCUUGCGCUGAAGUAUUUUAGUUGCGACUAACAAAUAUUUGUGUUUUUUCGAAAAAAAAUGUGGCCUAGAAAAAACCAGAAACUUGGCCAGCAUAUUUUCUUAGAUUUCUCAUUCGGGAUUUUUUUUGAAUUUGCUAAAAAAAAGAUCCUUGUGACUUUUCCAAAGUACAAAACUAAAAGUAAAAUUUUUGAUUCAUUCAGGAACACGGUCUUCUUUGGAUCUUUCAGAAUAGUGAUGGCACAUAAUAUCUUGAAAUUUUCGAAUUUUUCAAUUUGAAAAAUCUAUUAAGAUUACAGAAAUUGCUAAAAUAGCGUGGCCGAGUUUUCUCACAUAUCGGCUCGUUGGAACCGUAAAAACCCUUUUCAAGCCCAUUGUUGGCAAGCUUAUGAAGGAUCUAUCGUAACCUUAAGUUUUUAAAAAACCGCACUGUGUUUGUGAUAAAAAUUCAUUUAGUGUGUCUAGAUAUAUUUUUAGAACGCCGAUUUUUUAUCGGACAUUCACAUUUUUUAAAAUUUAAAAAUUUGAUACGAUUUGCGCCAGAUUGUUUUUUUAGUAAAUUUAAUAUAUGCAGGCACCUGAAAAAACCAAUCAUUUCAUGAAAAUGAGUUGCUGUUAAUAUAAAUAAUCAAAUUUCUUCGAUCAAAACUUUUUUUUCAGUUUUGGCGAGGAAAACGAUGGAAUCUCACCAACGACGAAUGGAGUGAAGCACACGACAUACGCCGUCGUCAAAACACCAAAGGAAACAGAACUUGAAACAACAUCAGAAAACAGAGGACUCAUGGAAACACGGAGGGGUCUGAGUCCAGAGAGGCCUGACGUGGAUUUAACGAAUCGAAAGGUCUCGUUCAGCACUGCACCUAUUCCG
RNAcentral lists this small RNA (1562 nucleotides) under Caenorhabditis elegans. RNAcentral's name for it is "Unclassified non-coding RNA C43E11.14". Lineage: Eukaryota; Metazoa; Nematoda; Chromadorea; Rhabditida; Rhabditidae. The record is from RNAcentral.